UACGAAGGGUGCAAGCGUUGUUCGGAUUUAUUGGGCGUAAAGCGCGCGUAGGCGGGCCUGCAAGUCAGAUGUGAAAUCUCGGGGCUCAACCCCGAAACUGCGUCUGAAACUACAGGCCUAGAAUCUUGGAGGGGGAAGGGGAAUUUCGCAUGUAGGGGUAAAAUCCGUAGAUAUGCGAAGGAACACCAGGGGCGAAGGCGCCUUCCUGGACAAGUAUUGACGCUGAGGCGCGAAAGCGUGGGGAUCAAACAGG
Molecule: ribosomal RNA, 253 nt
Filed under: uncultured bacterium
Lineage: Bacteria
Description: partial 16S ribosomal RNA
Rfam family: Bacterial small subunit ribosomal RNA
Source: RNAcentral